AACGAACGCUGGCGGCAGGCUUAACACAUGCAAGUCGAACGCAUCCUUCGGGGUGAGUGGCAGACGGGUGAGUAACGCGUGGGAACGUGCCCUUCAGUUCGGGAUAACCCAGGGAAACUUGGGCUAAUACCGGAUACGUGCGAGAGCAGAAAGAUUUAUCGCUGAAGGAUCGGCCCGCGUCUGAUUAGCUAGUUGGUGGGGUAAUGGCCCACCAAGGCGACGAUCAGUAGCNGGUCUGAGAGGAUGAUCAGCCACAUUGGGACUGAGACACGGCCCAAACUCCUACGGGAGGCAGCAGUGGGGAAUAUUGGACAAUGGGCGCAAGCCUGAUCCAGCCAUGCCGCGUGAGUGAUGAAGGCCUUAGGGUUGUAAAGCUCUUUCGUCCGGGACGAUAAUGACGGUACCGGAAGAAGAAGCCCCGGCUAACUUCGUGCCAGCAGCCGCCGUAAC
Molecule: ribosomal RNA, 450 nt
Filed under: uncultured bacterium
Lineage: Bacteria
Description: bacterial SSU rRNA
Rfam family: Bacterial small subunit ribosomal RNA
Source: RNAcentral